This 2866-nucleotide long non-coding RNA is filed under the name Coturnix japonica (Japanese quail). RNAcentral's name for it is "lncRNA (ENSCJPG00005011291.1)". Lineage: Eukaryota; Metazoa; Chordata; Aves; Galliformes; Phasianidae. The record is from RNAcentral.
AUGGAGGACGAUACCUUCUACCGUAUCCUCUGGAUCACGACAGUCUCAUUACUGACUGUACUUAUUCCAGCCUUCAGGAAGUGGAUGGUAGGAGUCAGGGCUGGUGCUGAGCCAGGCACUGCAACACAGGAGGGGGUUGGAGGGGGGCCAGGGCCAUCCCCAGGGCUGGGCUGGGAGACUGCCUGGGAGGAGAGGCCGUGUCCCAGCAGGGCCUGGCCAGGCUCGGCAAGGAGUCCCAGGGCAGUCACGGGCCGAGCCUGGCUGUGCCCUGGGUUGGUGGGAGCCGCUGAGGCUGCUAGGGAUGCUCCCCUCUCACUCGCUGCUUUCUGUGCCCAUACAGAAGGAAAGGUCCAAAACGUCCCAAACAGAGGAAGUGCCAACACGGAGCUAACCAGGCAAAUUCUAGAGGUGAGCAGCCCUGGCAAGGGAGGUGCCCUGCAAAGACAACCCUGGCCCCACUUGCCCACCACCCCAUCACGUUUCUCCCUAUCACUCACUCUGCUUUCUUUGCCAACAGUUUGGGACUUGUGCACGUCUUCACAGCACGCGAGGAUGCACUCCUCAGUGCCCAGUCAGACGGAUGACACCUAUGAAGCCAUCCAAUGUUUUUACAGAACUGUUCAAGACUCCAACAGAUGCUUGGACAGGCUCAUGUUGCAAAUGCCUGAGGGCAGCAAUGAGGGGGGCGGCAACGAGGGCACCAUCACCUGUUGUGGGGAUAUGAAGACACCUUGCCCACAACCAAAGUCCCAGGAGCGGGACCUGCCCUUGGUGGAUGAGGCUAUGAGAAGUCUCCUGGAGCAUCCUGACAUGAAAAUGCAGGCACCAGAGCACCUGCAGAAGAGCCUCUCAGAGCCUAAUCUGGGGCACAAAGACUCCCAGCUUCCACAUCCACUGAGGCAAACAAGGAGGUCCGCUCGCUUGCCCUUCCAGCGCAGGCACAUGCAGGCUCAGGCAUGGAGGUCAUCAGCAGAGGCCUUUGGCCAACGGCAAAAAUCUGCCUCCCUGAUGGACACACGCAAACAAGAAACAAUGCGUACAGUCCAUGCUGACUGCUACAGACUCUGUGAACACCCUGACAACCAGGAGAACAGGUUGAUGUAUCUAUGGCUGGAGCAGUAUGAAUACGUUGAGAGGAAGAUGCAGGACUUUUUCACACCACACUGCGUCCUGCCUAGCAAUGAAGGAUCCAAGGGUGUGUCUCCAUCUGACCCUGCUGCUCAAGAGCCAGAGGGAAGUAGAUCUGCAGUUGCAUCAAGCAGGACACAUAGGUCACAGACUCCAUCUCAGCUGUGCAGAGGCUGCUGUGUGCCACCCUUUCUGUGCUGCAGCGUUCAGCAUGUCUGGGCCAAGCUCAAAGCAGCCAGCAAGGCCCUCUGUUCCAAGAUCAGAAAGGGAAGCGAGAAGCUCUCAAGGAAGGGAAGAAAGCUCUUCAGGAAAAACAGAGCCGACAAGGCUGGACGCAAGUCAUCAUGGGAGCAGACAAUCACUGACACCUCUGGCCAAAAGGAGAAGCUCAGGUCCACCUCUGGAGGCAAUGAAGGACUUGGUGGCAUCUGAAGACAAGACUUUCAGUGGUGUCAGUGAGAUCACAGGGUGCCAGUAAGGGAUCAAGCCAGGAUGGCAGCAGCCACAGGCACCUGGAUGUACUGGAGCCUGUUGCCUGUAGAGUGACAGCCCACAUGCUGCUACCUAGCAGUGGGUUGCUCUUGGAGCCCCAAGCUCCUUCUCCAGCUCAGUCUGUUCAUCCAUCAGGUGUUCAGGCAGGCACACCUGCAGCAAGCAGAGAAUUGCCACCAGAUGCGACCAGAGGGCAAGAGCAGAAUGGCAGGGGACACACCCAGGACAGGCCAGAUCCUCCAAGAAGAACUUCCCCACAGAAAAAGCACUCCUCCACCGAGCAGAGAACCUCAGGUCUGCCAGAGCUUCCACAUCCCACUGAGAUCAAUAUUCCAGUCUCCCUCGUGCAGGAGCUUUUCACAGCUUUUAGAGAUUUGAACAUAGCCGGGCAAACUGCUAAGGAGCUGCAAAAGCAGGUGCUGGCUUCCUUUUCAAAAUAGCCCACAAACAACGUCAAGUAACAGAGAACAGAUGUGGCAGCAGAGGAACCUGGGGUCAGGACACAGACUGGAAGAGAAGGGCGAAGGGUGCAGCCAGAACAGAUCUGACCCUGGGACACUCUGCCCUGCAUGCAGCAAAGCCCCCCACUGCAGCCAGCCAGGAGCUGUAAGCUCCCAGAGAUUGGCUGCACCCGCAACUGCAGCCCCAGGUGCACAAAGAGACGCAGAGAGAAGAAUCCUUCCAUGACGACGGGGACAAGAGGCAGAAGGCCUGAAAAAUGCUCCUGCAGAUCAUCAGCCUGAGGGCCUCCUGUGCCUAAGGACAUCAACCCCUAUCAUUGCAGGAGGAAGCCCACCAGGACACACAGUCAGAGAGCAGCAGAUACCUGAAUUGUUUUUAUGAUUUUUCCUUAUUGAUAUUCCCCAUCAUGACAACACGUAGUGCUAUUGCUUCAGUCAAUAGCACUACAUAUACAUACAUAUACAUACAGAAUAAUGCAAAGUCCACUGGGAUAUGUAGUUUGUAGGACUUUGCAUUAUUCUGUUUCCAUCUUUCAUUCUGAAGCAAAGAUAAAACUGUUCACAUAUCACAAGACGUUCUCUCUUUUCCUUUCUUCUUGCCCUGGCUAGACUUCUCACCUUAGAAGUGGCAUUAGCCUCACUCUAAUGCCACUUCUAAGGUGAGAAGUCUAGCCAGGAUUUUUGGAUUCUCUGUCAUUUUAUUUGACUUAAUUAUUUUAAUUUUUUAUUAUUAUUAUUUCUUUAACUUUAAUUAUUUCAAAAUAAAAUAAAAUAAUUUCUCCCCA